GAUGAACGCUGGCGGCGUGCCUAACACAUGCAAGUCGAACGGAAAGGCCCUGCUUUUGUUGGGUGCUCGAGUGGCGAACGGGUGAGUAACACGUGAGUAACCUGCCCUUGACUUUGGGAUAACUUUAGGAAACUGGGGCUAAUACCGGAUAGGAGCUCCUGCUGCAUGGUGGUGGUUGGAAAGUUUCGGCGUUUGGGGAUGGUCUCGCGGCUUAUCAGCUGGUUGGUGGGGUAGUGGCUUACCAAGGUUUCCACGGGUAGCCGGCCUGAGAGGGUGACCGGCGACAUUGGGACUGAGAUACGGCCCAGACUCCUACGGGAGGCAGAGGUGGGGAUUAUUGCACAAUAGGCGGAAGCCUGAUGCAGCAACGCCGGGUGCGGGAUGACGGCCUUCGGGUUGUAAACCGAUUUCGCCUGUGACGAAGCGUGAGUGACGGUAAUGGGUAAGAAAGCACCGGCUAACUACGUG
Molecule: ribosomal RNA, 468 nt
Filed under: uncultured bacterium
Lineage: Bacteria
Description: partial 16S ribosomal RNA
Rfam family: Bacterial small subunit ribosomal RNA
Source: RNAcentral